Mastomys coucha (southern multimammate mouse) is the source of this 285-nucleotide long non-coding RNA. RefSeq lists it as uncharacterized. NCBI's taxonomy places the organism in Eukaryota, Metazoa, Chordata, Mammalia, Rodentia, Muridae. The record is from RefSeq and is a predicted model, not a curated record. The transcript has 2 exons.
GUCCUGCUGUAAAGUCUGAGGACUCUGCAGACUGUCACAAGUGAAAGGAAAAGACCCUUGAUGGAGAUUGACAGAGAGAUCUUAUGUCAAGUAUGAACAGGAGAAUCUCACAGUGUUUAUGUAUGGCACUUGGGAAAGCAAGAUGAGGAUAUCAAUGCCAAGAAGACUAAAUCGUAAGUGAACAGCAGCCGAGGAUCUCUUUCUAGCCCUGACUGCAAUGUGCUGCUUAAGGCUUUAAAGGUUCAGUGUUGAGUGAUGCUCCGUGAACAAAUGAUGUUGAGAGGA